AUAGGGUCAAGUGAGUAAGUGCAUCAGGCGGAUGCCUUGGCGAUGAUAGGCGACGAAGGACGUGUAAGCCUGCGAAAAGCGCGGGGGAGCUGGCAAUAAAGCUAUGAUUCCGCGAUGUCCGAAUGGGGAAACCCACUGCAUUCUGUGCAGUAUCCUAAGUUGAAUACAUAGGCUUAGAGAAGCGAACCCGGAGAACUGAACCAUCUAAGUACCCGGAGGAAAAGAAAUCAACCGAGAUUCCGCAAGUAGUGGCGAGCGAACGCGGAGGAGCCUGUACGUAAUAACUGUCGAGAUAGAAGAACAAGCUGGGAAGCUUGACCAUAGCGGGUGACAGUCCCGUAUUCGAAAUCUCAACAGCGGUACUAAGCGUACGAAAAGUAGGGCGGGACACGUGAAAUCCUGUCUGAAUAUGGGGGGACCAUCCUCCAAGGCUAAAUACUCAUCAUCGACCGAUAGUGAACCAGUACCGUGAGGGAAAGGCGAAAAGAACCCCGGGAGGGGAGUGAAACAGAACCUGAAACCUGAUGCAUACAAACAGUGGGAGCGCCCUAGUGGUGUGACUGCGUACCUUUUGUAUAAUGGGUCAACGACUUACAUUCAGUAGCGAGCUUAACCGGAUAGGGGAGGCGUAGGGAAACCGAGUCUUAAUAGGGCGAUGAGUUGCUGGGUGUAGACCCGAAACCGAGUGAUCUAUCCAUGGCCAGGUUGAAGGUGCCGUAACAGGUACUGGAGGACCGAACCCACGCAUGUUGCAAAAUGCGGGGAUGAGCUGUGGGUAGGGGUGAAAGGCUAAACAAACUCGGAGAUAGCUGGUUCUCCCCGAAAACUAUUUAGGUAGUGCCUCGAGCAAGACACUGAUGGGGGUAAAGCACUGUUAUGGCUAGGGGGUUAUUGCAACUUACCAACCCAUGGCAAACUCAGAAUACCAUCAAGUGGUUCCUCGGGAGACAGACAGCGGGUGCUAACGUCCGUUGUCAAGAGGGAAACAACCCAGACCGCCGGCUAAGGUCCCAAAUGAUAGAUUAAGUGGUAAACGAAGUGGGAAGGCACAGACAGCCAGGAUGUUGGCUUAGAAGCAGCCAUCAUUUAAAGAAAGCGUAAUAGCUCACUGGUCGAGUCGUCCUGCGCGGAAGAUGUAACGGGGCUCAAAUCUAUAACCGAAGCUGCGGAUGCCGGUUUACCGGCAUGGUAGGGGAGCGUUCUGUAGGCUGAUGAAGGUGCAUUGUAAAGUGUGCUGGAGGUAUCAGAAGUGCGAAUGUUGACAUGAGUAGCGAUAAAGCGGGUGAAAAGCCCGCUCGCCGAAAGCCCAAGGUUUCCUACGCAACGUUCAUCGGCGUAGGGUGAGUCGGCCCCUAAGGCGAGGCAGAAAUGCGUAGUCGAUGGGAAACAGGUUAAUAUUCCUGUACUUGAUUCAAAUGCGAUGUGGGGACGGAGAAGGUUAGGUUGGCAAGCUGUUGGAAUAGCUUGUUUAAGCCGGUAGGUGGAAGACUUAGGCAAAUCCGGGUUUUCUUAACACCGAGAAGUGAUGACGAGUGUCUACGGACACGAAGCAACCGAUACCACGCUUCCAGGAAAAGCCACUAAGCUUCAGUUUGAAUCGAACCGUACCGCAAACCGACACAGGUGGGCAGGAUGAGAAUUCUAAGGCGCUUGAGAGAACUCGGGAGAAGGAACUCGGCAAAUUGAUACCGUAACUUCGGGAGAAGGUAUGCCCUCUAAGGUUAAGGACUUGCUCCGUAAGCCCCGGAGGGUCGCAGAGAAUAGGUGGCUGCGACUGUUUAUUAAAAACACAGCACUCUGCCAACACGAAAGUGGACGUAUAGGGUGUGACGCCUGCCCGGUGCCGGAAGGUUAAUUGAAGAUGUGCAAGCAUCGGAUCGAAGCCCCGGUAAACGGCGGCCGUAACUAUAACGGUCCUAAGGUAGCGAAAUUCCUUGUCGGGUAAGUUCCGACCCGCACGAAUGGCGUAACGAUGGCCACACUGUCUCCUCCCGAGACUCAGCGAAGUUGAAGUGGUUGUGAAGAUGCAAUCUACCCGCUGCUAGACGGAAAGACCCCGUGAACCUUUACUGUAGCUUUGCAUUGGACUUUGAAGUCACUUGUGUAGGAUAGGUGGGAGGCUUGGAAGCAGAGACGCCAGUCUCUGUGGAGUCGUCCUUGAAAUACCACCCUGGUGUCUUUGAGGUUCUAACCCAGACCCGUCAUCCGGGUCGGGGACCGUGCAUGGUAGGCAGUUUGACUGGGGCGGUCUCCUCCCAAAGCGUAACGGAGGAGUUCGAAGGUUACCUAGGUCCGGUCGGAAAUCGGACUGAUAGUGCAAUGGCAAAAGGUAGCUUAACUGCGAGACCGACAAGUCGGGCAGGUGCGAAAGCAGGACAUAGUGAUCCGGUGGUUCUGUAUGGAAGGGCCAUCGCUCAACGGAUAAAAGGUACUCCGGGGAUAACAGGCUGAUUCCGCCCAAGAGUUCAUAUCGACGGCGGAGUUUGGCACCUCGAUGUCGGCUCAUCACAUCCUGGGGCUGUAGUCGGUCCCAAGGGUAUGGCUGUUCGCCAUUUAAAGUGGUACGUGAGCUGGGUUUAAAACGUCGUGAGACAGUUUGGUCCCUAUCUGCAGUGGGCGUUGGAAGUUUGACGGGGGCUGCUCCUAGUACGAGAGGACCGGAGUGGACGAACCUCUGGUGUACCGGUUGUAACGCCAGUUGCAUAGCCGGGUAGCUAAGUUCGGAAGAGAUAAGCGCUGAAAGCAUCUAAGCGCGAAACUCGCCUGAAGAUGAGACUUCCCUUGCGGUUUAACCGCACUAAAGGGUCGUUCGAGACCAGGACGUUGAUAGGUGGGGUGUGGAAGCGCGGUAACGCGUGAAGCUAACCCAUACUAAUUGCCCGUGAGGCUUGACUCUAU
Molecule: ribosomal RNA, 2898 nt
Filed under: Neisseria gonorrhoeae
Lineage: Bacteria; Pseudomonadati; Pseudomonadota; Betaproteobacteria; Neisseriales; Neisseriaceae
Also listed under: 1 other name
Description: 23S ribosomal RNA
Rfam family: Bacterial large subunit ribosomal RNA
Source: RNAcentral